UACGGAGGGGGCUAGCGUUAUUCGGAAUUACUGGGCGUAAAGCGCGCGUAGGCGGAUAAGAAAGUCAGAGGUGAAAUCCCAGGGCUCAACCUUGGAACUGCCUUUGAAACUCCUUGUCUUGAGGUCGUGAGAGGUGAGUGGAAUUCCGAGUGUAGAGGUGAAAUUCGUAGAUAUUCGGAGGAACACCAGUGGCGAAGGCGGCUUACUGGAUCGAUACUGACGCUGAGGUGCGAAAGCGUGGGGAGCAAACAGG
Molecule: ribosomal RNA, 253 nt
Filed under: uncultured bacterium
Lineage: Bacteria
Description: partial 16S ribosomal RNA
Rfam family: Bacterial small subunit ribosomal RNA
Source: RNAcentral